RNAcentral lists this ribosomal RNA (357 nucleotides) under uncultured Rhodococcus sp. Its description in RNAcentral is "bacterial SSU rRNA". It matches the Rfam family "Bacterial small subunit ribosomal RNA", at positions 1026 to 1382 of the family's 1533-position model. The record is from RNAcentral. Lineage: Bacteria; Bacillati; Actinomycetota; Actinomycetes; Mycobacteriales; Nocardiaceae.
UACUGGAGACAGGUGCUGCAUGGCUGUCGUCAGCUCGUGUCGUGAGAUGUUGGGUUAAGUCCCGCAACGAGCGCAACCCUUGCCUUUAGUUGCCAGCAGUUCGGCUGGGCACUCUAAAGGGACUGCCGGUGUUAAACCGGAGGAAGGUGGGGAUGACGUCAAGUCAUCAUGCCCCUUAUGUCCAGGGCUUCACACAUGCUACAAUGGCCAGUACAGAGGGCUGCGAGACCGUGAGGUGGAGCGAAUCCCUUAAAGCUGGUCUCAGUUCGGAUCGGGGUCUGCAACUCGACCCCGUGAAGUCGGAGUCGCUAGUAAUCGCAGAUCAGCAACGCUGCGGUGAAUACGUUCCCGGGCCUU